This 465-nucleotide long non-coding RNA is filed under the name Nicotiana benthamiana. Its description in RNAcentral is "long non-coding RNA (NBEN_LNC012602)". The record is from RNAcentral. Lineage: Eukaryota; Viridiplantae; Streptophyta; Magnoliopsida; Solanales; Solanaceae.
AUUUGGAAGGCUUGGAAAUUAUUCAUCGCGUUCGCGUAGCUCAGGGUCGCGUUCGCAUAGUGCUGGGAAGUAAAGCAUCGCGUUCGCGUAGCUCAAGGUCGCGUUCGCGUAGUAGGAAUUUCUGGAGCAUCGCGAUCGCGGGCAGUUAGUCGCGUUUGCGUUAGGGAAAAUUGGGGUCAGCAUAAUUUUAGUCAUCGCGAACGCAUGGGUCUUGGACCGCCUUCGCAUGAUCGCGGGCAGUUAGUCGCGUUCACGUAAGGGAAAAUUAGGGUCAGCAUAAUUUUUUCAUCGCGAACGCGUGGGUCUUGGACCGAGUUCGCGUAGGGUAAUUUGGCACCUGGGCAGAAUGGAUUUAAGACACUUUUCAUCUGCGAGCUAUCUCAUAUUUCCUCCAUUUUUGCACCACCUUGAGAGCUUGUUGACAGAUGUUGAAGGGGACGGGGAGUGAUUAGAGGUAAGUCUCAU